Carassius gibelio (silver crucian carp) is the source of this 829-nucleotide long non-coding RNA. RefSeq lists it as uncharacterized. The transcript has 3 exons. The record is from RefSeq and is a predicted model, not a curated record. NCBI's taxonomy places the organism in Eukaryota, Metazoa, Chordata, Actinopteri, Cypriniformes, Cyprinidae.
GUAAGUGCUACGUUAGCCGAAGGUAAAGUGCACACUCAUUGUUUGCCUGGUGCUCGUGUUCUCGAUGUUUCUGCGCAGAUACCCGCGAUCCUGAAGGACGGCGAGAGCCCCAGAGCGGUCGUGCUUCACGCCGGGGUUAACGACACCACGCUGCGGCAGACGGAGACGCUCAAGAGGGACUUCAGGAGCCUGAUCGAGACGGUUCGCAGCACGACGCCCGCGGCGACGAUCGUCGUGUCAGGACCACUGCCCACGUAUCGACGAGGACACGAAAGGUUCAGUAGACUUUUUGCUUUAAAUGAAUGGUUGUUGUCAUGGUGUAAAGAACAGAAACUGCUAUUUGUUAAUAACUGGAAUCUUUUCUGGGAGCGUCCUAGACUGUUUCGCGCUGAUGGAUUACACCCCAGCAGAAUUGGAGCGGAGCUUCUCUCUGACAACAUCUCCAGGACACUUCGCUCCAUGUGACUACUGAAAAGACGUAAAGGCAGUCAGCCCAGUGGUGUUUCUGGAGAGGGAUUCCUUCAGAAAUGGAGAAGACAGAAAGCUGCGGAGGCAGAUAUAUGCAGCAGAUUGUUUGAGGAUAACGCUGUAGCUCCAUCAUGCACAAGGACUCACCUCGUUAACUCUUUAUCCCCCGCACACACAGAAAUGGUCCCUGGAUCAGUGAUUAGACUUUGCAGUGGUUUGAUUUUUGCAGAAGAUGUAACUUUGUUUUAAUUAUAAGCUCAUAAUGAAUACAUUACAGAACCAGUGAUGAAAACAAUAGUUAAAAAUAGCGCUCCAUAUUAAAAAUAUAUUGCACACUUGACAUGCAUGUCUUCAUGGUGUU